RNAcentral lists this long non-coding RNA (1233 nucleotides) under Mytilus galloprovincialis (Mediterranean mussel). The record is from RNAcentral. Lineage: Eukaryota; Metazoa; Mollusca; Bivalvia; Mytilida; Mytilidae.
UUUGGAAAUUAUAGCUUGCAUUUAUUAUUGCUUUUAUGUCAUUUUGGACUAAAAAUACUACUUUAAUUUUGGUGAAAUUGAGAAAAAUCCUGUUUAAUUCAUGUAAAGUAUUUCAAAAUGUGAGUUUAAAUUAUUGGGAUUAUAACCCAAUAAUAAAAACAUGGCAAUAAUUUAUGAAUUUACAGUAAAUAUUCUACAUUUUUUUCAAAAUUCUUAAAUAAUGUUUAUGAUUGGCAACCUCUGUUCUAAUUGCUUCAUGAACCAAUUUUCAGUAAGCAGCAAAAAAUGUUUGACAUUGCUCCAUUUUUGACUACUAGUUUCAAAUUUCUUUCGCUUUCUGAGCUAGUGUCCUUUUAAUAAAGCAGAUAUUCAGAAACACCAUAAGACCUUCAAGUGAAUUUGUAGUGAUAACAUCCACAUCAGAUUGAUAUCAAAAUGAAGACUGGUUGAGCAUUGAUCGAGACCAAAUUCAGACUUUUUAAGUAAAGUAGAGACCAAAUUAGUAGGGUUAAAUACUGUUGAGAUAAGGUUUAGACUUGUCAAGUAAAAUUUGUACUCAAACAGUAAAAAUAUGGUCUUUUCAAGCUGCAGUUUGUAGUGCAUUCAGCAAGAAUAAUGGCAGACAAAGGUAUAAAAAAACAGUCUGUAGCUGCUGAUGCUUUUAAGAUUCGUUAGUGUGCAAGUUUGCAAUGUAGCUUGUUAUUAACUGAAAACAUGGAACGGAAAGUUUUGUAUGGAACUUAAAAAUCAGCACCCUUAUGAACAAAAUCAGAAAUUUGUAAAAUUUGAUUUAGAAUUAAGGGCGGCUGAAGUAAAAAAUGUAUCAGUUAAUUUUAAUUGGCCUUUUGUUGUUAUGUUUAUGGUUAUUCUGAGGUUAAAGUUGAUUUUACUUUGUCAAGAAAAUAUCAAAGUGAAAAGAUUUUUUUUCUUGUAUUUAUUCAUGAUUGUUUUAAGCAGCUAACAUUAAGAUAUAUUAUCCAAACCUUCAUGGUAUUUUAAAAAGCUUGAACAGAAGCUUCUUCAUGAUCAAGAGAUAGCAUCUUGAGAAAAGCUAACUAGUAUUUUCCACAUUUUUCUGUCAGUCAAUGUUUCACUUAUACACGAACAGCAGUAAUUGCAGGUGAGACACUGGGUCAUGUGAAACCCUUUAUAAAUUUUGUAAUGACAUUAUUGAUUGUUCUUUAUUACUUUAAUUUUUUAUUGAAUGAUACUUGUUUUGUUUAAUAAACGGCA